This 481-nucleotide ribosomal RNA is filed under the name Prymnesium parvum. RNAcentral describes it as "partial Bacterial large subunit ribosomal RNA". It matches the Rfam family "Bacterial large subunit ribosomal RNA", at positions 203 to 644 of the family's 2925-position model. Lineage: Eukaryota; Haptophyta; Prymnesiales; Prymnesiaceae. The record is from RNAcentral.
UCAGUACCCGUAGGAGAAGAAAACAAUUGUGAUUCCGUGUGUAGUGGCGAGCGAUAGCGGAUGAGGCUAAACCGUGUGCGUGUGAUACCUGGCAGGGGUUGCGUGUGCGGUGUUGUGGGGCGCAAAUGUUGCAGGCUGCUAACUGCAAGCGCGAUGCGCACAUAUCAGCGGAAGCAUCUGGGAUGGUGCAGCGGAGUAGGUGAAAAGUCCUGUACGUGAAGGUGUGUGUGGUUGUGUUGUUUGUGUUUUCCCGAGUAGCAGCGGGCUCGUGGAAUCUGCUGUGAAUCUGCCGGGACCACCCGGUAAGCCUAAAUACUCAGUGUGACCGAUAGUGUAUGAGUACCGUGAGGGAAUGGUGAAAAGUACCCCGGGAGGGGAGUGAAAGAGUUCCUGAAACCGGUCGCAUGCAAGCCGUCAGAGCCUGUGUGGUGAUGGCGUGCCUUUUGAAGAAUGAGCCUGCGAGUUAGUGAUGCGUGGCGAG